RNAcentral lists this unclassified non-coding RNA (329 nucleotides) under soil metagenome. RNAcentral describes it as "partial contains 5.8S ribosomal RNA, internal transcribed spacer 2, and large subunit ribosomal RNA". The stretch from base 1 to 120 matches the Rfam family "5.8S ribosomal RNA", at positions 35 to 154 of the family's 154-position model. The record is from RNAcentral.
GAUGAAGAACGUAGCGAAAUGCGAUACGUAGUGUGAAUUGCAGAAUUCAGUGAAUCAUCGAAUCUUUGAACGCACAUUGCACCUCUCGGUAUUCCGGGAGGUAUGCCUGUUCGAGCGUCAUUACAACCCUCAAGCUCAGCUUGGUGUUGGGCCCCGCCGCCCCGGCGGGCCCUAAAGUCAGUGGCGGUGCCGUCCGGCUCCGAGCGUAGUAAUUCUUCUCGCUCUGGAGGUCCGGUCGUGUGCUCGCCAGCAACCCCCAAUUUUUUUCAGGUUGACCUCGGAUCAGGUAGGGAUACCCGCUGAACUUAAGCAUAUCAAUAAGCGGAGGA